GGGAUAUAGGUCAGUGGUAGAGCACUUGUCAAAUGUGUGUGAGAUCCUGGGUUCAAUUCCCAGUAACUGUCA
RNAcentral lists this transfer RNA (72 nucleotides) under Marmota monax (woodchuck). Its description in RNAcentral is "tRNA.Ile". Lineage: Eukaryota; Metazoa; Chordata; Mammalia; Rodentia; Sciuridae. The record is from RNAcentral.